RNAcentral lists this ribosomal RNA (242 nucleotides) under uncultured bacterium. RNAcentral describes it as "partial 16S ribosomal RNA". It matches the Rfam family "Bacterial small subunit ribosomal RNA", at positions 332 to 589 of the family's 1533-position model. The record is from RNAcentral.
CCGAUCCUACGGGGGGCAGCAGUGGGGAAUAUUGGGCAAUGGAGGAAACUCUUACCCAGCAAUGCCGCGUGAAUGAAGAAGGUCUUCGGAUUGUAAAGUUCUUUAAUUGGGGACGAAAAAAAUGACGGUACCCAAGGAAUAAGCCCCGGCUAACUAAGUGCCAGCAGCCGCGGUAAUACGUAGGGGGCAAGCGUUGUUCGGAAUGACUGGGCGUAAAGGGGGCGUAGGCGGGGUAGCAAGUU